AGCAGCCGCGGUAAUUCCAGCUCCAAUAGCGUAUAUUAAAGUUGUUGCAGUUAAAAAGCUCGUAGUUGAAUUUCGGGGUUAGUAGGUUGGUCAUGCCUCUGGUAUGUACUGGUCUCACUGAUUCCUCCUUCCUGAUGAACCUUAAUGCCAUUAAUUUGGUGUUUUGGGGAAUUUGGACUGUUACUUUGAAAAAAUUAGAGUGUUUAAAGCAAGCUAACGCUUGAAUACAUUAGCAUGGAAUAAUGAAAUAGGACGUUCGAUCCUAUUUUGUUGGUUUCUAGGAUUGACGUAAUGAUUAAUAGGGAUAGUUGGGGGCAUUAGUAUUCAAUUGUCAGAGGUGAAAUUCUUGGAUUUAUUGAAGACUAACUACUGCGAAAGCAUUUGCCAAGGAUGUUUUCAUUAAUCAAGAACGAAAGUUAGGGGAUCGAAGACGAUCAGAUACCGUCGUAGUCUUAACCAUAAACUAUGCCGACUAGGGAUCGGGUGAUGUUAAUUUUUUAAUGACUCAUUCGGCGCCUUA
This 520-nucleotide unclassified non-coding RNA is filed under the name uncultured Glomus. RNAcentral's name for it is "SSU rRNA". It matches the Rfam family "Eukaryotic small subunit ribosomal RNA", at positions 569 to 1090 of the family's 1831-position model. The record is from RNAcentral. Lineage: Eukaryota; Fungi; Glomeromycota; Glomeromycetes; Glomerales; Glomeraceae.